GAUGAACGCUGGCGGCGUGCCUAAUACAUGCAAGUCGAGCGAACAGACCAGGAGCUUGCUCCUCUGACGUUAGCGGCGGACGGGUGAGUAACACGUGGAUAACCUACCUAUAAGACUGGGAUAACUUCGGGAAACCGGAGCUAAUACCGGAUAAUAUAUUGAACCGCAUGGUUCAUUGGUGAAAGACGGUGUUGCUGUCACUUAUAGAUGGAUCCGCGCCGGAUUAGCUAGUUGGUAAGGUAACGGCUUACCAAGGCGACGAUGCGUAGCCGACCUGAGAGGGUGAUCGGCCACACUGGAACUGAGACACGGUCCAGACUCCUACGGGAGGCAGCAGUAGGGAAUCUUCCGCAAUGGGCGAAAGCCUGACGGAGCAACGCCGCGUGAGUGAUGAAGGUCUUCGGAUCGUAAAACUCUGUUAUUAGGGAAGAACAAAUGUGUAAGUAACUAUGCAUGUCUUGACGGUACCUAAUCAGAAAACCACGGCUAACUACGU
Molecule: ribosomal RNA, 496 nt
Filed under: uncultured bacterium
Lineage: Bacteria
Description: partial 16S ribosomal RNA
Rfam family: Bacterial small subunit ribosomal RNA
Source: RNAcentral